This 85-nucleotide non-coding RNA is filed under the name Andreesenia angusta. RNAcentral describes it as "Eubacterium angustum Bacterial small subunit ribosomal RNA". It matches the Rfam family "Bacterial small subunit ribosomal RNA", at positions 1449 to 1533 of the family's 1533-position model. Lineage: Bacteria; Bacillati; Bacillota; Tissierellia; Tissierellales; Gottschalkiaceae. The record is from Rfam by way of RNAcentral.
GCAGCUGCCGAAGGUGGGAUUGAUGAUUGGGGUGAAGUCGUAACAAGGUAGCCGUAUCGGAAGGUGCGGCUGGAUCACCUCCUUU